Molecule: unclassified non-coding RNA, 856 nt
Filed under: Zea mays
Lineage: Eukaryota; Viridiplantae; Streptophyta; Magnoliopsida; Poales; Poaceae
Description: misc RNA Zm00001eb325660
Source: RNAcentral
CGUCCGGCCGCGUGUCUCCGGGAGGCACGUGAAGAAGAAAACCCAAGCGACCGCGGCGAUGCCGGAGUAGAGGAAGAAGCUGCCGCCGAUGGUGAUGGCCUUGGAGAGGGACAGGAAGGUCAUGGAGAUGACGGCGCUGGUGACGCGGUUGCUCGCCACACCCACCGCGAAGCCCAGCGCGCGCACCUGCAGCGGGAAUAUUUCCGAGGUGUACACGCCCGUGAUGGGCCCGAGGCCGAUGGAGAAGAAGGCGAUGUAGGACAGGGUGGACGCGAUGCACAGGGCGACGGCCCACGCGACCUUGGUGUCCGGGUGAUGCCCCGCGACGGUGAGCCCCGACCCGAGGCAGAUGAGCGAGACGAUCAUCCCGCCCGUGCUGAUCAGCAGCAGAGGCCGACGCCCCGCGCGGUCCAGCAGGAACGUGGCCACCAGGAUGAAGAACGUCUUGGUCACGCCCACCGCGCAGGUGACGCCCAGGAGCUUGUUGUCGUCGGUGAUCCCCGCGCUCUUGAACAGGCGGGCGCUGUACUGGACGACGGAGUCGCUGCCAGAAGCCUGCUGGAAGAAGUGGAGACCCACGGCCGAGAGCAGGAUGCGUCGGACCGCCGGGGUCGGGGACAGGAUGAGCUGCUUCCACACCUGCAACUCACCGCCGCCUUGCUCCUUGUUGGGUACGGUGACCACGUCCCCGUCGAGGCCCUUCGGAAUCCCCGCCGCGGCCUUGAUGUCGGCCAGCCGCUCGGCGGCCUCCUCUGGCGUGGCAGAGGUCUUCUCUAGCACAGCCCUGGCGUCCGCGAGGCGGCCCUUCAAGACCAGCCACCGAGGCGACUCGGGCAUGCAGAACACCAGGAGCGCG